This 225-nucleotide ribosomal RNA is filed under the name uncultured bacterium. RNAcentral's name for it is "partial 16S ribosomal RNA". It matches the Rfam family "Bacterial small subunit ribosomal RNA", at positions 111 to 334 of the family's 1533-position model. The record is from RNAcentral.
UAACGCGUGAGGAACCUGCCUCAAAGAGGGGGACAACAGUUGGAAACGACUGCUAAUACCGCAUAAGCCCACAGCUCGGCAUCGAGCAGAGGGAAAAGGAGCAAUCCGCUUUGAGAUGGCCUCGCGUCCGAUUAGCUAGUUGGUGAGGUAGUGGCCCACCAAGGCGACGAUCGGUAGCCGGACUGAGAGGUUGAACGGCCACAUUGGGACUGAGACACGGCCCAG